Molecule: ribosomal RNA, 287 nt
Filed under: uncultured bacterium
Lineage: Bacteria
Description: partial 16S ribosomal RNA
Rfam family: Bacterial small subunit ribosomal RNA
Source: RNAcentral
GUGGAUUAGAUACCCUGGUAGUCCACGCCGUAAACGGUGGGCACUAGGUGUGGGGAACAUUCCACGUUCUCCGUGCCGAAGCUAACGCAUUAAGUGCCCCGCCUGGGGAGUACGGCCGCAAGGCUAAAACUCAAAGGAAUUGACGGGGGCCCGCACAAGCGGCGGAGCAUGCGGAUUAAUUCGAUGCAACGCGAAGAACCUUACCUGGGUUUGACAUAUACCGGAAAGCUGCAGAGAUGUAGCCCCCGCAAGGUCGGUAUACAGGUGGUGCAUGGCCGUCGCCAACU